Tupaia belangeri chinensis (Chinese tree shrew) is the source of this 869-nucleotide long non-coding RNA. RefSeq lists it as uncharacterized. NCBI's taxonomy places the organism in Eukaryota, Metazoa, Chordata, Mammalia, Scandentia, Tupaiidae. The record is from RefSeq and is a predicted model, not a curated record. The transcript has 3 exons.
CAACGCCUGUCUGCACGGCUGUCUGCCGGCCCGGCCGCUGGAUCCUCACUCCACCCAGGAAUGGCCUCUCUGCCCGUCUCUGCCCAGGUGUGACCACCAGGUGCCAGGCGCCCGGGGCCACCGUGGUCCCGAGUCCAAGUGCAGGUGCUUUCUGCUACCCUGUCCUGCCUGGUCUGGGAGAGGGGACGUCGGGGGGAUAGCCAACUCCCCAGGAGGGGACCCUCCAAGCACCGAUGUGUCCCUGUCCCUGAGGCCAGUGGAGACCACAAGCAGUCACGGGCCCUGUGCCACGCAGGGGGCCCCCAGGCUGAUUCAGCACGGGUCUCUCCUUGCCACCCGCUCGUGCCCCGCCCUGCUCCUGUGCUGUCACAGAGUGAGGGCCACUGAGGAGCCUGCCACGCACAGGGCAACUUCAACUGGCCUGAAAACCCCAGCCCUGCCCCAGCGCCCAGGCGUCUCCCCGAGUCUCAGACCCUCAACUGGAGCUGCGAUGACACCAAUCUCCCGCUGCUCCCCGGACCAGAGCCACUGUGCAGACCGGGAAACCGAGCACAGAGAGGUUAACCACUGACGAAAGCUGCACAGGAGGGGCUGGAUUCAGAGCCAGAGUCCACACUGCAGCGCCGCGCCCACAGACACGUGAGCAGAUGGUCACCCUCGUAACCAGCGCAGAGUGGGGGCUCACCGACAGCUAUCUCCCACCUCACAGUGUGGUUCAAAUCCUGGACCCGGCGGACGGAAGGACACAGCUGUGUAUGCGCGCACGUGUGCCCCAAAUCCUGAGAGGACAAUGGAGGAGAGACCAUGGCGUGGCGAUGCCCGGGCAGGAGCUUCUCAUUUUCACUUUCUCUUUCUGCCGAGCUCAUGCA